RNAcentral lists this ribosomal RNA (777 nucleotides) under uncultured Weissella sp. Its description in RNAcentral is "bacterial SSU rRNA". It matches the Rfam family "Bacterial small subunit ribosomal RNA", at positions 28 to 759 of the family's 1533-position model. The record is from RNAcentral. Lineage: Bacteria; Bacillati; Bacillota; Bacilli; Lactobacillales; Lactobacillaceae.
GAUGAACGCUGGCGGCGUGCCUAAUACAUGCAAGUCGAACGCAUUGUGGUUGAAAUGAUAUGAAGAACUUGUUCAGAUUUGAUUUUCAACAUUGCAAUGAGUGGCGAACGGGUGAGUAACACGUGGGAAACCUACCUCUUAGCAGGGGAUAACAUUUGGAAACAAAUGCUAAUACCGUAUAAUAAUUAAAACCGCAUGGUUUUAGUUUAAAAGAUGGUCUUGCUAUCACUAAGAGAUGGUCCCGCGGUGUAUUAGUUAGUUGGUGAGGUAAUGGCUCACCAAGACAAUGAUACAUAGCCGAGUUGAGAGACUGACCGGCCACAAUGGGACUGAGACACGGCCCAUACUCCUACGGGAGGCAGCAGUAGGGAAUCUUCCACAAUGGACGAAAGUCUGAUGGAGCAACGCCGCGUGUGUGAUGAAGGGUUUCGGCUCGUAAAACACUGUUGUAAGAGAAGAAUGACAUUGAGAGUAACUGUUCAAUGUGUGACGGUAUCUUACCAGAAAGGAACGGCUAAAUACGUGCCAGCAGCCGCGGUAAUACGUAUGUUCCAAGCGUUAUCCGGAUUUAUUGGGCGUAAAGCGAGCGCAGACGGUUAUUUAAGUCUGAAGUGAAAGCCCUCGGCUCAACCGAGGAAUUGCUUUGGAAACUGGAUAACUUGAGUGCAGUAGAGGAAAGUGGAACUCCAUGUGUAGCGGUGAAAUGCGUAGAUAUAUGGAAGAACACCAGUGGCGAAGGCGGCUUUCUGGACUGUAACUGACGUUGAGGCUCGAAAG